GCAAAAGUAUCUUAAAGGUAAAGUAUCAUCUUGCCAUGAUGAUGAAUACGAGUUCGAUUCUCGUCUUUUGCU
Molecule: transfer RNA, 72 nt
Filed under: Candidatus Carsonella ruddii CS isolate Thao2000
Lineage: Bacteria; Pseudomonadati; Pseudomonadota; Gammaproteobacteria; Oceanospirillales; Halomonadaceae
Description: tRNA-Gly (GCC) (tRNA-Gly-GCC-1-1)
Rfam family: tRNA
About the family: Transfer RNA (tRNA) molecules are approximately 80 nucleotides in length. Their secondary structure includes four short double-helical elements and three loops (D, anti-codon, and T loops).
Source: RNAcentral